This 497-nucleotide ribosomal RNA is filed under the name uncultured bacterium. RNAcentral's name for it is "partial 16S ribosomal RNA". It matches the Rfam family "Bacterial small subunit ribosomal RNA", at positions 28 to 507 of the family's 1533-position model. The record is from RNAcentral.
GACGAACGCUGGCGGCGUGCCUAAUACAUGCAAGUUGAGCGCUGAAGGUUGGUCCUUGUACCAACUGGAUGAGCAGCGAACGGGUGAGUAACGCGUGGGGAAUCUACCUUUGAGCGGGGGACAACAUUUGGAAACGAAUGCUAAUACCGCAUAAAAACUUUAAACACAAGGUUUAAGUUUGAAAGAUGCAAUUGCAUCACUCAAAGAUGAUCCCGCGUUGUAUUAGCUAGUUGGUGAGGUAAAGGCUCACCAAGGCGAUGAUACAUAGCCGACCUGAGAGGGUGAUCGGCCACAUUGGGACUGGGACACGGCCCAAACUCCUACGGGAGGCAGCAGUAGGGAAUCUUCGGCAAUGGACGAAAGUCUGACCGAGCAACGCCGCGUGAGUGAAGAAGGUUUUCGGAUCGUAAAACUCUGUUGGUAGAGAAGAACGUUGGUGAGAGUGGAAAGCUCAUCAAGUGACGGUAACUACCCAGAAAGGGACGGCUAACUACGUG